AUUGAACGCUGGCGGCAUGCCUAACACAUGCAAGUCGAACGGCAGCACAGCAGUAGCAAUACUGUGGGUGGCGAGUGGCGGACGGGUGAGGAAUACGUCGGAAUCUGCCCAGUCGUGGGGGAUAACUAGCCGAAAGGUUAGCUAAUACCGCAUACGACCGAGAGGUGAAAGCGGGGGACCGCAAGGCCUCGCGCGAUUGGAUGAGCCGACGUCGGAUUAGCUAGUUGGCGGGGUAAAGGCCCACCAAGGCGACGAUCCGUAGCUGGUCUGAGAGGAUGAUCAGCCACACUGGAACUGAGACACGGUCCAGACUCCUACGGGAGGCAGCAGUGGGGAAUAUUGGACAAUGGGCGCAAGCCUGAUCCAGCAAUGCCGCGUGUGUGAAGAAGGCCUUC
This 395-nucleotide ribosomal RNA is filed under the name uncultured bacterium. Its description in RNAcentral is "bacterial SSU rRNA". It matches the Rfam family "Bacterial small subunit ribosomal RNA", at positions 29 to 419 of the family's 1533-position model. The record is from RNAcentral.